AUAAAAAGGUGAUAGAGUGGUUAUAUGGCCGGCUUGAAACUGGUUUAUAUGGGUUCGAUUCCUAUUCUUUUUG
RNAcentral lists this transfer RNA (73 nucleotides) under Oscaecilia ochrocephala. RNAcentral describes it as "tRNA-Ser". It matches the Rfam family "tRNA". Rfam says of the family: Transfer RNA (tRNA) molecules are approximately 80 nucleotides in length. Their secondary structure includes four short double-helical elements and three loops (D, anti-codon, and T loops). Lineage: Eukaryota; Metazoa; Chordata; Amphibia; Gymnophiona; Caeciliidae. The record is from RNAcentral.